CCCUCGGUAGUAAAAUGGUUAAUACACUGGGCUGUUAACCAAAAGGCUGGAGGUUCAAGCCUACCCAGAGGU
Molecule: transfer RNA, 72 nt
Filed under: Loxodonta africana (African savanna elephant)
Lineage: Eukaryota; Metazoa; Chordata; Mammalia; Proboscidea; Elephantidae
Rfam family: tRNA
About the family: Transfer RNA (tRNA) molecules are approximately 80 nucleotides in length. Their secondary structure includes four short double-helical elements and three loops (D, anti-codon, and T loops).
Source: Rfam by way of RNAcentral